This is a non-coding RNA of Caenorhabditis elegans, 300 nucleotides long. Lineage: Eukaryota; Metazoa; Nematoda; Chromadorea; Rhabditida; Rhabditidae. The record is from Ensembl.
AUUUGGGGAAAUACGAAUUGAUACGAAAAUUUGGAUACCCCAUGGGCCAGAGACAAUGGUACAUGGUGCAUCACCCCAAGGGUCAAAAAUUUAUGGGGUAAAUGUCUAUGAGGCCUGAAGUCUAAACAUGAUAUUUUAGCCGAAAGCCUAUAGGGUUUGUAUUCAUAUGGGACAUAGCAGGGGUGGGCGGCAAACGAUUUUUCCGGCAAAUCGGCAACUUGCCGGAAUUGAAAAUUUCCGGCAAAUAGACAUUUUGCCGGAAUUGAAUAUUUCAGGAAAUUGCCAAAAAUUUUCGGCUUU